Molecule: ribosomal RNA, 492 nt
Filed under: uncultured bacterium
Lineage: Bacteria
Description: partial 16S ribosomal RNA
Rfam family: Bacterial small subunit ribosomal RNA
Source: RNAcentral
AGUGAACGCUGGCGGUAGGCCUAACACAUGCAAGUCGAACGGCAGCACAGUAAGAGCUUGCUCUUACUGGUGGCGAGUGGCGGACGGGUGAGGAAUACAUCGGCAUCUACUUUUUCGUGGGGGAUAACGUAGGGAAACUUACGCUAAUACCGCAUAUGACCUACGGGUGAAAGCAGGGGAUCUUCGGACCUUGCGCGAUUGUACUAGCCGAUGUCGGAUUAUCUAGUUGGCGGGGUAAAGGCCCACCAAGGCCACGAUCCGUAGCUGGUCUGAGAGGAUGAUCAGCCACACUGGAACUGAGACACGGUCCAGACUCCUGCGGGAGGCAGCAGUAGGGAAUAUUGGACAAUGGGCGAAAGCCUGAUCCAGCCAUACCGCGUGAGUGAAGAAGGCCUUCGGGUUGUAAAGCCCUUUUGUUGGGAAAGAAAAGCAGCAGGUUAAUACCCCGCUGUUCUGACGGUACCCAAAGAAUAAGCACCGGCUAACUUCGUG